This is a non-coding RNA of Camelina sativa (false flax), 370 nucleotides long. Lineage: Eukaryota; Viridiplantae; Streptophyta; Magnoliopsida; Brassicales; Brassicaceae. The record is from RefSeq and is a predicted model, not a curated record.
AUGCUGCAUCUGUUGAUGAUUGGUGAACCUGUUUUAUUGCCAUUUUUUCACCGUCAGAGUUUCACAACAUCUCAGAUAGAUAUUGAGUAUAACAAGGGUACAAAAAUGGUUCUUUCGUAAAAGGAUUCUUAAUUUCUUAUGCACCUAUAAGGAAACUUAGAACCUUACGAAUUCAGCAGUCUUGAUCAUAUCAACAUGGCCUCUGGAGCUCAGAGCUCUGUAUAUCACAUCAGAUUCUUUGAAAGCAUCUGCUUCGAUCACCACUGCAUCGGCUCCUGCCCAAAAAGUAACCUGACUAAUCAUGAGAUCUGCAUGGCUCCAGUGGUAAGCGAAGUAACUGAGUAUACAUCUCUCAAACUCCUCAACGAGC